This is a long non-coding RNA of Maniola jurtina (meadow brown), 108 nucleotides long. RefSeq lists it as uncharacterized. The transcript is spliced from 2 exons. NCBI's taxonomy places the organism in Eukaryota, Metazoa, Arthropoda, Insecta, Lepidoptera, Nymphalidae. The record is from RefSeq and is a predicted model, not a curated record.
UGCCAUACCCCUUCCAGGUUAGCCCGCUUCCAUCUUAGACUGCAUCAUCACUUACCACCAGGUGAGAUUACCAAGUUAACUCUAUCUGAAUUAAAAAAAGAUUUAAUU